This 769-nucleotide ribosomal RNA is filed under the name uncultured bacterium. RNAcentral's name for it is "bacterial SSU rRNA". It matches the Rfam family "Bacterial small subunit ribosomal RNA", at positions 8 to 796 of the family's 1533-position model. The record is from RNAcentral.
AGAGUUUGAUCAUGGCUCAGGACGAACGCUGGCGGCGUGCUUAACACAUGCAAGUCGAGCGGAAAGGCCCUUCGGGGUACUCGAGCGGCGAACGGGUGAGUAACACGUGAGUAACCUGCCCUGGACUUUGGGAUAACCCUCGGAAACGGGGGCUAAUACCGGAUAUGACCUGUCACUGCAUGGUGGUGGGUGGAAAGUUUUUCGGUCUGGGAUGGGCUCGCGGCCUAUCAGCUUGUUGGUGGGGUGAUGGCCUACCAAGGCGACGACGGGUAGCCGGCCUGAGAGGGCGACCGGCCACACUGGGACUGAGACACGGCCCAGACUCCUACGGGAGGCAGCAGUGGGGAAUAUUGCACAAUGGGCGGAAGCCUGAUGCAGCGACGCCGCGUGAGGGAUGACGGCCUUCGGGUUGUAAACCUCUUUCAGCAGGGACGAAGCGUGAGUGACGGUACCUGCAGAAGAAGCGCCGGCCAACUACGUGCCAGCAGCCGCGGUAAGACGUAGGGCGCGAGCGUUGUCCGGAUUUAUUGGGCGUAAAGAGCUCGUAGGCGGCUUGUCGCGUCGUCCGUGAAAACCUGGGGCUCAACUCCAGGCUUGCGGUCGAUACGGGCAGGCUGGAGUUCGGUAGGGGAGACUGGAAUUCCUGGUGUAGCGGUGAAAUGCGCAGAUAUCAGGAGGAACACCGGUGGCGAAGGCGGGUCUCUGGGCCGAUACUGACGCUGAGGAGCGAAAGCGUGGGAGCGAACAGGAUUAGAUACCCUAGUAGUCC